ACGUCCAUACCACGCUGAACACACCGGUUCUCGUUCGAUCACCGAAGCUACUACGGGCGCAGUUAGUACUUGGAUGGGUGACCGCCUGGGAACACCGCGUGAUGUUG
Molecule: non-coding RNA, 107 nt
Organism: Eumeta japonica
Lineage: Eukaryota; Metazoa; Arthropoda; Insecta; Lepidoptera; Psychidae
Source: the annotation of a GenBank genome assembly